UACGAAGGGGGCUAGCGUUGCUCGGAAUUACUGGGCGUAAAGCGCACGUAGGCGGCUUCUUAAGUCGGUGGUGAAAUCCUGGAGCUCAACUCCAGAACUGCCUUCGAUACUGGGAGUCUCGAGUUCGGGAGAGGUGAGUGGAACUGCGAGUGUAGAGGUGAAAUUCGUAGAUAUUCGCAAGAACACCAGUGGCGAAGGCGGCUCACUGGCCCGAUACUGACGCUGAUGCACGAAAGCGUGGGGAGCAAACAGG
This 253-nucleotide ribosomal RNA is filed under the name uncultured bacterium. Its description in RNAcentral is "partial 16S ribosomal RNA". It matches the Rfam family "Bacterial small subunit ribosomal RNA", at positions 524 to 776 of the family's 1533-position model. The record is from RNAcentral.